Molecule: small nucleolar RNA, 126 nt
Organism: Suncus etruscus (white-toothed pygmy shrew)
Lineage: Eukaryota; Metazoa; Chordata; Mammalia; Eulipotyphla; Soricidae
Product: small nucleolar RNA SNORD22
Exons: 1
Source: RefSeq, a predicted model, not a curated record
UCCAAGUAAAGAAACAUUCAUACGUCUUACCAUCUGUCCUAGUCCCAGAACCUGACAAGGAGAACCCACUGGGUCUGACUGGAGGAAAAGAGGAAAGCUCGUUCCAGAAGGAACUGUCUGAGAGAA